Molecule: long non-coding RNA, 4460 nt
Organism: Erigeron canadensis
Lineage: Eukaryota; Viridiplantae; Streptophyta; Magnoliopsida; Asterales; Asteraceae
Exons: 4
Source: RefSeq, a predicted model, not a curated record
GAGCUGUAGACAGUCUUACCUCUACCAAAGGUGGAGAGACUCCUUCCAUAAGGACCUCCGGCCAGGAAGAUAUAAAAGCCGUAAAAGGGUAAAGUGUUUAUACCUGUUUGUCGAGAACAUGAUAAGACGAUAAUACUUGUUCGCUGGUUCCGCCGGGUAUGCCUCCUUACGAGUCGGGAAGGGUAGCAAACGUACGGUAACAAAACCUUAGCACAUAACAUAAACUCUAGCAACCAUAUUACGCAAAUAACAACAUAAAAAGUAAGAGCAUAAUAGACAAAGCCUACCUAUACAUAAGAAAUGACUAAAAACUAAGGGGAUUAAACUAUUUUCUAAACAACCUACGGAGCAGAGUACCUUAGGCCGCUACGGUAAACUAAAAUAACGGGUGGUGCGCAACCUAUGAAACACACUAAUAACGCCGCCUAACUAGAUUAAACCUAGUCCUCUCCCAAGCUCCCAAAACCCCUAAACUAGUACUAGUCCUCUAAUAAACCCUCAUCGGUCAUGUCCUCCAACGGGCAGAGCAUUUUGGGGCAGCCAAGAGUAACCUCCCCCCUCGAUUUUGGCCUCCCUCUACUCAGGCCAAAACCACUACGGAGGUUACCAAGAACCAAAGUCUACGAAGAAAGUCUACAAAAACCUAUUCCCAUUUGCCUUACCCUCACUGACCACCUUCUCCAUCAGGAAACACCAUCGUAACCUUCGGUAUUCUGUCCUUCCACCUCCGUCGACCUACCUCUCCUCCUGUCAGUACAAAGCCUUCUUUGGCGGCGAGUCACCAAAGUUGGGCCUACUUCACCCGGUCAAACCAACACAAAUCACCUUAGGCAAGGCAAAAUAGGAAAAUGAUGUCGAUCAAAGUCCCGCAAAAGACAAACCCUACCCUAAUCCUCUACUCUAAUCCUAGUUCUCCAGGCCGUCCUAUCCGACGUCAAGUCCUCCGACAAACCAAGUUCUAUUAGGUCCUUCGCUAAUCGGUCCUCCCACCUCAUCUUAGGCCUUCCUCUUCUUCGUGUGCCUUCGACGUGAAUAGACUCCGCUCUUCUUAGUGGUGCUGUUCGAUCCCUUCUCCUAACAUGGCCAAACCAUCUCAAACGCCCUUCUCUUAGCUUUUUAAUGAUGGUCCCUACUUCAAGUUCUGCUCUAAAAACUCCUGUGGGGAUCCUGUCUGAUAGGGUCUUCCCGCAAGACCACCUUAGCAUCCUCAUCUCUCCUACCUCUACUCGAGAUGCUUGGGCUUUCGUCAUCGGCCAACAUUCUGACCCGUAUAACAUAGCCGGUCUAAUAGCGACUCUGUAGAACUUCCGUUUCAGUUUUAGCGGGAUCCGCUUGUCGCACAUGACUCCAGAAGCUGCCCUCCACCGCAUCCAUCCAGCUUGGAUUCGAUUUGUCACGUCUUCGUCUAUCCCCCCCGAUUUGUGUAUCACCGAUCCCAGGUACCUAAAAGACGCCUUCGGACCCAAUAUCCGCUCCCCAAUGCGAAUAACCUCAUCCCCAUUUUGACUUAUCCCCUAUUUAUCGAAGUCACAUCGUAGGUAUUCAGUCUUCUCUCGGCUCACACACAAACCAUUGUCUUCAAGGGCUUCUCUCCAUUUCUCCAACCUACGGUUUAGCUCCUAUGUCGAUCUCGCAAUCAGUGCAAUGUCAUCGGCAAAAAUCAUGCACCACGGUAGUUCCUCCUGAAGGCCACUGGACAACUCGUCUAAGAUCAAUGUAAAAAGGUAUGGGCUAAGCGCCGAACCCUGGUGUAGGCCCAUUUCUACCGAGAAAAGCUCUGUGCUCCCCACCGGUGUUCGAACACCGGUCCUCGCCCUAUCAUACAUGUCCCUGAUAACACUAAUGUAUCUCCCAGUAACUCUUUUUGCUUGGAGCGUCCUCCAGAUCAGCUCUCGUGGUACACUAUCGUAUGCCUUAUCCAAAUCUAGGAAGGCACAGUGCAACGCUUUUUGUCUUUCCCUAUACUUUUCCAUAAGGCUUUUGGUGAUGUGGAUAGCCUCCAUCGUCGACCUCCCUGGCAUAAAACCAAAUUGGUUCUCUGCCACCUUCGUAACUCUUCUAAGCCUCGUCUCAAUCACUUUCUCCCAGAGCUUCAUGGUAUGACUUAGGAGUUUAAUGCCCCUAUAGUUGCUACAACUCUGCACGUCCCCCUUGUUCUUAUAGAUAGGUAUAACCUCACUAAGUCUCCAUUCUUCUGGCAUUUUUGCUCUCGUCCAAAUCUUGUUGAAGAGGCUUGUCAACAAGCUUAUCCCCACGUCCCCCAGGCAUCUCCAUGCCUCAACCGGAAUUUGAUCUGGACCUACUGCUUUGUUUCUCCCCAUCUUCUUUAGGGCGAUCCUUACUUCCUCUUGGCUGAUCCUCGUUGCAUCAUCGUCGUCGUAGCGUGUGUUUGGGUGUGCGGUGAUGACCUCUCCUCCUUCAAUUCUCCCCGACCCUCUCCCAUUAAACAGGUUGGCGAAGUACUCUUACCAUCUUUUCCUAAUAUCUCCCUCCUUCACAAUGCUCCGUCCACUUUCGUCUUUGAUAUAAAUGACAUCCCCUAAAUCCCUACGUCUUCUCUCCCUUGCCUUAGCAAUUCUGAAGAUUUCGUUUUUGCCUUCUUUGGAAUCUAGUUUCUUGUACAGCUCUUCGUACGCUCUUUCUCUUGCUAUAGCAAUAGUCCUCUUUGCUUCUUUCUUGGCUUCGUAGUACCUCUGCCUAGCCAAAGACCAGUCUUCAUUUGUCCCGUUCUGGCGGCUUUUGACAAGAUCCUUAAAACACUCUUUAUGGAAAACAUAUUAUGAACGCAAUAUAUAUUACUACUCGAUAAGGCUAAUUGGUUGUUGAUUUGGAUGGUGAUUGUUUCAACUAUAUUUUUUUCUUGACAAUGCACAUGUCCUGUUGCUCUUGUAAGCCUGUAAUUUUCAAUAAACUUUUUUUUAUAUUUUCGUUUGUCUCUAGAUGCACACUCAUGAUAUGCUAUAAGAUAAUUGUUUGUACUGACCUUCCAUUUAUCAAGGCAUGCAUUUUGUAGGAAUUCUGUUGCGCUCGCUCACUGGUGAGAUUGUUGCCCAAAUAUCGAAUGUUGGGUGUGUACAUAGGAUCUGAAAGUGUAUUAUUGUAUCGUAGUUAGUUCUAGAUACGACACCAUUAAAAACAGGUUGUUUAGUUUUUAAUUUAUGGACCACCUAUUUGAGAAGGACCGUGCUUAUGGUGUAUAGUCUAAUUUCUAUAUGUUGAAUGUUCUAUAUGCAUUCUUUUGGUGUGUUAAGUGCAAUAAAUUUUUAAAGAGGACGAUUCUUACCAUGGGAAAAAGUCUCCCAUUAUAUGUCCAAAUCAGUUAGAAAUAUCAUUUUACAUAUCUGUUUGUUUAUCUUCUUAUUUCUUAAUGUGCCAAUUUUUCUAUACUGCUUGCAUGUUGGACGUUGGCUUUGUUAUAUAUGUUUCUCUAAAUUUUCACAGCAUGAGAUGCUAAAAAAGGUUAUUAGGCUUUUCAAGGGUGAUUGGCGACAAAAAUCGUGACGUUGGUGCUACUUCUUUAAUGAACGUAGCAGUCCACACUGAUGAGCCUGGUAAACAGGUUAGAAGUGCGGCUCACAUGAAAAACCAAAGUAGGUUUCAUGUUGCCUUUAAGGUAUCUCAUAUAUUUUAGCACUAAUAAUAGAAGGAUCAUACUGGCAUUGAUGAAUGUUCUAUUUAAAAUUUCAUGGUGAAAUAACUCCAAUUUGCAAAAGAAAUUGUUUUUGUAUGUUAGUCCCUUCAGCUUCAAGCUACUGCACCAAAGAGAUGCUAUAUAAGACCUCCUGGUGGUAUUCUGGUCCGGUGAAAGCAUUAGUGCUACAGCGAUGUAUUAUGAUCCGUUGGUAUAUAUUUAAUAUUCGUGAUGUAUACCAACAUUUACACAUCUUAGCAGCAUAUGUGUGUUCUAGCUCUAAGCCGGAGAUCAUCAAAGAUUAGCAUAUGAUCGCUAAACCUUUCUUUCAUUGAAUGCAUGUCAAAAAAAUUUAAGUCCAAGAAAUGAAUAAAUGCAGACGGUUGUUUUGAUGCAGUUCAAUGAUGCACAAAAGCUUAGUUUUCAAUAUAUUGAGAAUGUUGAGGCAAUUUCAAGAGAAAUCAAGGCAUGCAUAUGCAUUAUGUAAGGUGAUUGCUGAUGCAAGACAAGACUUCUUAGAUAAAAUGUCAAAUACUCCUUGGAUUGUAAAUAAGCUACAGGUAGUUGGAAUUUUCAUGUAGAAAAGUAAUUUGUCAAGUAUCUAAAAGUGUUACAAAAGGAGAAUACAAGUCUUUAAUUGGCUAGGAUACAAGUUUUUGGGUUGGAGUUAUAAGGGUAAGGUUUGGAGUAGUACCAACUAUGGGGACCUGUUUAAAUUACCUGUGUUUGGAGCAGUACCAACAAGUGUUACAAAAUGAGAACACAAGUUUAAAUUACUGCAGGUAUUCGAGAAUGCUUUCACUUUCUAUUUACAAUUGGAUUUUUUUUA